CCCUUAGAGUUUGAUCCUGGCUCAGGAUGAACGCUGGCGGCGUGCUUAACACAUGCAAGUCGAGCGAAGCACUUAGGAAAGAUUCUUCGGAUGAUUUCCUUUGUGACUGAGCGGCGGACGGGUGAGUAACGCGUGGGUAACCUGCCUCAUACAGGGGGAUAACAGUUAGAAAUGACUGCUAAUACCGCAUAAGACCACGGUACCGCAUGGUACAGUGGUAAAAACUCCGGUGGUAUGAGAUGGACCCGCGUCUGAUUAGGUAGUUGGUGGGGUAACGGCCUACCAAGCCGACGAUCAGUAGCCGACCUGAGAGGGUGACCGGCCACAUUGGGACUGAGAUACGGCCCAGACUCCUACGGGAGGCAGCAGUGGGGAAUAUUGCACAAUGGAGGAAACUCUGAUGCAGCGACGCCGCGUGAAGGAUGAAGUAUUUCGGUAUGUAAAC
RNAcentral lists this ribosomal RNA (445 nucleotides) under uncultured bacterium. Its description in RNAcentral is "bacterial SSU rRNA". It matches the Rfam family "Bacterial small subunit ribosomal RNA", at positions 1 to 430 of the family's 1533-position model. The record is from RNAcentral.